Molecule: ribosomal RNA, 172 nt
Filed under: uncultured bacterium
Lineage: Bacteria
Description: partial 16S ribosomal RNA
Rfam family: Bacterial small subunit ribosomal RNA
Source: RNAcentral
UGAGUAACCUGCCCUUCACUCUGGGAUAACUCCGGGAAACCGGGGCUAAUACUGGAUAUGACUCGAACAGGCAUCUGUUUCGGGUGGAAAGAUUUAUUGGUGGAGGAUGGACUCGCGGCCUAUCAGCUUGUUGGUGAGGUAAUGGCUCACCAAGGCGACGACGGGUAGCCGG